This 497-nucleotide ribosomal RNA is filed under the name uncultured bacterium. Its description in RNAcentral is "partial 16S ribosomal RNA". It matches the Rfam family "Bacterial small subunit ribosomal RNA", at positions 28 to 507 of the family's 1533-position model. The record is from RNAcentral.
GAUGAACGCUGGCGGCGUGCCUAAUACAUGCAAGUCGAGCGAACAGACGAGGAGCUUGCUCCUCUGACGUUAGCGGCGGACGGGUGAGUAACACGUGGAUAACCUACCUAUAAGACUGGGAUAACUUCGGGAAACCGGAGCUAAUACCGGAUAAUAUAUUGAACCGCAUGGUUCAAUAGUGAAAGACGGUUUUGCUGUCACUUAUAGAUGGAUCCGCGCCGCAUUAGCUAGUUGGUAAGGUAACGGCUUACCAAGGCGACGAUGCGUAGCCGACCUGAGAGGGUGAUCGGCCAGACUGGAACUGAGACACGGUCCAGACUCCGACGGGAGGCAGCAGUAGGGAAUCUUCCGCAAUGGGCGAAAGCCUGACGGAGCAACGCCGCGUGAGUGAUGAAGGUCUUCGGAUCGUAAAACUCUGUUAUUAGGGAAGAACAAAUGUGUAAGUAACUAUGCACGUCUUGACGGUACCUAAUCAGAAAGCCACGGCUAACUACGUG